GAUGAAGAACGCAGCGAAAUGCGAUAAGUAAUGUGAAUUGCAGAAUUCAGUGAAUCAUCGAAUCUUUGAACGCACCUUGUACCCUUUGGCAUUCCGAAGGGUAUGCUCGUUUGAGUGUCAUUGUACUCUCACUCUCCCGAUGCUUUUGGAUCGGGAGUGGUGGACUUGGGUGUUGCUGCUUUGCUGUGGCUCGCCUCAAAUGGAGUAGUGCAACUCUUGGUUGGACAUAGUACGGCGUGAUAAGUGUCUUCGCCGGCGCCUCAUUAUAGAGGGUGGCCGAUCGGGAGCUCUGUGCUUCAAACCGUCUUCGGACAACAUCUGACAACUUGACCUCAAAUCGAGUAGGACUACCCGCUGAACUUAAGCAUAUCAAUAAGCGGAGGA
This 384-nucleotide unclassified non-coding RNA is filed under the name soil metagenome. Its description in RNAcentral is "partial contains 5.8S ribosomal RNA, internal transcribed spacer 2, and large subunit ribosomal RNA". The stretch from base 1 to 120 matches the Rfam family "5.8S ribosomal RNA", at positions 35 to 154 of the family's 154-position model. The record is from RNAcentral.